Mauremys reevesii (Reeves's turtle) is the source of this 443-nucleotide long non-coding RNA. RefSeq lists it as uncharacterized. The record is from RefSeq and is a predicted model, not a curated record. Lineage: Eukaryota; Metazoa; Chordata; Testudines; Geoemydidae. The transcript has 3 exons.
CACCUGGGAUGAGAUGUAGAGUUUAAUUAGUAGAAACAUGGAGGAGCUGAUUAUCCUAUGAAGAGCAGCAGGAUGGUAUGCUCAGGGAGGGAGAAACAACUGAGGGAAGGGAUGGCAGGAGAAGACAGCUGGAAAUGAACAGCAGCCACAGAGGUCAUAUAGUCUCUUCCUUGCUGAAGAAUGGACUGCACACGGAACAUGGGACCUGAAAAUGGAAGACAACUUUGCCGCUGCUGUUAUUGAUAAACAACUUCUCACAGAUCAACCCAUGGGUGACGCAACUGGGCAUCAGAAAACAGUGAAACUGAAGCUAUACCAAGUGUCAGAUUUUCAGCUGGCCAAAUUCAACGAAGCUCCAUUGAAGCAAGUUGGUGCAGCAGCAACAGCUGAGAAUCUCAGGAUAUUGUCAAAUGUACAAAGUAAAUAAAAUGAAGAAAAAAUCA